This 511-nucleotide RNase P RNA is filed under the name Candidatus Omnitrophota bacterium. Its description in RNAcentral is "Candidatus Omnitrophica bacterium RNase P RNA component class A". It matches the Rfam family "Bacterial RNase P class A". Rfam says of the family: Ribonuclease P (RNase P) is a ubiquitous endoribonuclease, found in archaea, bacteria and eukarya as well as chloroplasts and mitochondria. Its best characterised activity is the generation of mature 5'-ends of tRNAs by cleaving the 5'-leader elements of precursor-tRNAs. Cellular RNase Ps are ribonucleoproteins. The record is from RNAcentral. Lineage: Bacteria; Pseudomonadati; Candidatus Omnitrophota.
GGCGCAGGCUGGACGGUCGCCCCGCACCUUUUUAAUAUUCGAAUUACGUAUUUAGCAUUUUGAAUAUAUAAAAGGUGCGGGGAGGAAAGUCCGGGCUCUACAGGGCAGCGUAGCGGGUAAUUCCCGUCUCCCGCACCUUUUAUAUAUUCAAAUUACCUGAUCCAAUAUUUUGAAUCUAUGAAAAGGUGCGGGACGGAUAAGAGCCACAGAGACGAGUCUCCCGCACCUUUUUAUCAUUCAAAUCGGGUAUUAAAUUUUUGAAUACAUAAAAGGUGCGGGAGGGUGAAACGCGGCAAUCUCUACGCGGAGCAAAACCAAAUAGGUCUCGCCGUAAGAAUGGCCCGUUCAUAAGGGCGAGACGGGUAGGUCGCAUGAUCCUGACAGCAAUGUCAGGGCAAGAUAGAUGAUCGUUACCCCGCACCUUUUUAUCUAUUCAAAUUACCUGAUCCAAUAUUUUGAAUAUAUAAAAGGUGCGGGGGAACAGAACCCGGCUUAUAGGCCUGUGCCUUUC